AUUGAACGCUGGCGGCAUGCUUUACACAUGCAAGUCGAACGGGCUGUCGGGGCAACCUGGCAGUCAGUGGCGAACGGGUGAGUAAUACAUCGGAACGUGUCCUUGAGUGGGGGAUAACCCGGCGAAAGCCGGACUGAUACCGCAUACGCUCUAAGGAGGAAAGCGGGGGACCAGCAAUGGCCUCGUGCUGAAGGAGCGGCCGAUGUCCGAUUAGCUUGUUGGUGGGGUAANGGCUUACCAAGGCGACGAUCGGUAGCUGGUCUGAGAGGAUGAUCAGCCACACUGGGACUGAGACACGGCCCAGACUCCUACGGGAGGCAGCAGUGGGGAAUUUGGACAAUGGGGGCAACCCUGAUCCAGCCAUGCCGCGUGCGGGAAGAAGGCCUGGUGUAACGU
Molecule: ribosomal RNA, 396 nt
Filed under: uncultured bacterium
Lineage: Bacteria
Description: bacterial SSU rRNA
Rfam family: Bacterial small subunit ribosomal RNA
Source: RNAcentral